Long non-coding RNA from Lates calcarifer (barramundi perch), 3889 nucleotides. RefSeq lists it as uncharacterized. Lineage: Eukaryota; Metazoa; Chordata; Actinopteri; Centropomidae. The transcript has 3 exons. The record is from RefSeq and is a predicted model, not a curated record.
CCGGACGUGCAGGUUGUAUCCUCUCUGACGGUGAGACAUGAAGCUCACAGCUCGGUGAUACAACAGUGGUGGACUGACUGAGUUCUUGGUACAUGUCUAGUCAGACCAGCAGUGAACCUGGAUGUCCCCCUGCACAUCUGUGGACAAAGCAAGGGAAACAGCAUAAAGACAAACAUCUACUACCUUGAUGUAGCUAAAUCACAGCUACAGAGGCAGCUGCUCAGUUGUUAGCUUGUGUAACAGUUGGGAUUGUCUGCCAGCAUCAGACAGAGACAGUUCACACCUCCACCUGCAGCAUGAGUGAGCUUACAGACUUUGAGAAAGGCCAAAUAGUUGGUGCCCGGGCAGCAGGUCUGUCUGUCAGAGAAACUGCCCAGUUAUGUGAUGUAUCGGGUCGAACUGUUCUCAAGGUUAUGAGUGCUUAUAACAUGUACGGACAUACUGCAUCUGCAAAGAAGAACAGCAAGCGCAAGCCAAAGAGGAAACGGGCAAAAGCUGAAGCAGCUCCCUUGGAGAAACCAGUAGCUGAGUCUGAGAUCGACACUCAAAACCCAGAGAAAGCGAGCGAGACACCUGAAGCUCAGACCAAAGACAAAGAAUAACUUGGUCUGAUAUGCCGUAUUUGAGACAUUGUUAUUAUUUAGACUCUGUAAUGUUUGUAUCUAAAAAAGGCACAGCAUGUCUUUAUUUAACCCACAGUUUUUCAUACUUCUGAACAGUUUCAUCCAAGUUUGAGUUUUUGAGUUUGUGUGCGUGCGUGUGUGUGUAAGGUUUGAAAAUGUUCUGUUACUGUUCUGUCAGCAAAGGGACAUUUCCAGGCUCUCUAGAUCAAUAAGUUUAGUUCAAUUUAAACCAGUGGCAUUUGUCUGUUUGUGGAUGCAGCUGUCAGAUGUUUUCUGUCCAACUUACUGAUGAAGGGAAUACACAAAUGGAAAAUUAAAUGAAAUUGUAACAGUUUUCAGAAGCGUUUAAUUUAAGCUCCACAAUGACAGCAUGCACACACAGUAAAACUGAUAUUGUCUAGAGUUUUUCUCCCUAUGUGCUCACACUAAUCAGUGUGUUCAGCUGACAGUUGUAUCCUGCCUGCAGUCCACAGAGGCUCAUGUGCUGACGUAUGUUUAUGAGUUUGCUGAGUCAACAUGUUGACCUGGACCAGUUUUGUUAAUUCAGAAUCAUAAGAAUGUGUUGUAUUUUUUUCAGUUUUUGGAGCGACAUUACCAGUGCAUCUAUACUGUGCUGUGAUUCCAUUAAGAGGAAAUACAUGUUCUCCUCUCUGUCUGUGUCUUCCAUCCUUUUCCUGUGUUGGGUCACUGUUCUGACCACCAGUUGUGAAUUGUUUCAUUAGUCUCCCAUGGUAGAUUAAUUGAUAAUAAAUAAUCCUUAGUUGCAGUCCUGAGUCCCUGCCAGUCUGUUCUGGAGAGUACUGUUUUGACCACUGGUUGUGUUCAUACUUUGACACCCCCUCCCCCCCAGAAAUACUUUUUUUGUGAUGUUUAGACCUUUGACCUCUACUCUGUGUCAUGAUCAUCAGAAACAGCAGCAGGUGAAAAACAGGGUGGCUGUUGACUGCUUCAAAAACAAAUUAGCCCUGAUAGUUGGGGCAGUGCCUUAAAUUUUUUUUUUUUUUUUUUUUUUUUUGAUAAUGAAAAUAUGACUUGUAGCACUAAUUUGUUUACCUCAGAAUAAGUGACUUCUCGUGUAGAACUUGAAUUAUAUACCUUUAAACAUUUGGAGCAAGAAUAACAGAACAAGUGCCACACCAAAGUUAAGAACUGAGAGCUGUCGGGAAGUUGACACAACCCUUUUAUUCUGAAAAUUCUUACCGGAUGUGUCAAUGUUAUUCUCCCUGGGGAAACGCAAACACAACAUCAGCGGAGGACAGGCAGACUUCUUGGUACAUUUGCAGUUACCAACGAGGACACUGUGAAACCUCAACAGCUUGUCAGUGGAUCCCUGGAUCUUUCUGCCUAAGGGUAUAAAAUAAUGGAAACACCACAUGACAGAGGACUUUUGAGCACUUGAGUAGCAAUAACAAAACCGACUGCCUGUCUGUUGGCUCUAAAAAAACAAAAAAAAGACAGUCAACACUUGUAUAGAAGUGCCCAAAGCAGUAUGAGUGACUUAACAGAGUUUGAAAGAUGCCAGAUAGUUGCUGCACGACUUUCUGGUGCAUCUGUCACAAAAACUGCACAGCUGUUCAAUGUUGCAAGAGGAACAGUCUCGAGAGUCAUGACUGUAUACAUUAAACAUGGAAGAACAGCAUCAGCAAAGAAGAACAGCGGGCGCAAGUCAAAGCUUACUGAAAAGGAUAGACAAACACUUCUCAGGAUAGUUGAUGAACACCCUGAGUAUACAGCCUCAAAAAUAACCUCAGAGUUGAACAGACACCUCUCUCACACUGUCUCCGUUAAAACCAUACGGCGUGAGCUUCACAAAGCUGGUAUUUUUAGAGGAGGAGCCAAUCGGAAGCCAGAGACUGACACGCAAAAGCCAGAUGAAAAGAACAUGAAACCUGAACUAAACAAGGAGUGUAACUCACAUAAAACACCUGAAAUGCAAACAAAUGCCAAAGAGUGUAGUGGACAAAAGGAAUUGGGAGAACCCCAAGCAAGCGUUGAAGAGUACAACACAGGAAAAAAUCUGAAGAGAGAAUACAGCCUGAAGCCAAUGUCAGUGAAGAGGAGUCCAGCACACAAAAGUCUGGUGAAGAGAGCAUAGGACCUGAAUCCCAGACAGGUGAAAAAGACUCACAAAAGUAUGAUGACAAGACCACAGGACCUGAACCUCAGAUCAGUGAAAUGGAAUAACAUGGUCUGAUGUAUUGGAUUUCAGCCUUUUUAAUACAUCUUUGGUCAUGUUAAGGGAAAACCACAGAAUGCCUUCAUCCCCUAAUGUUGCCAACUAUUGGAUGUGCUCAUGGAUCUUUAAUGAUGUUUGAAUUUUGUAGAUUUUAUUAUUAUUUUUGCAUGAAUGCAUUAUAGUGCAAUGUUGAUGCUUUUUUGCAAUUUUUUUUAUUUUUUUCUGGUUUACAAGCAAAUAUCAUACCUUCAAUGUAGAUUAUUGAGAAUUAACUUAAAUUGUUGAAAAUAAACGUAGUGCCAGUGUUAAAUAGUAUAUAUUAUGGUAUUGUUUUAAUACAAAACACUCAAUUCGGUACACAUAAUGAAUCACAAAAUUCAGGGUUUGUUUUGUAGUUUAUAGACCAAUGCCAUGCUGCUGUUUUUAACUAUAUCUCAUCAUUUCAUUUGUACUGUAAAGCAUGGCCUUUUUGAUGUUCUCUCAGAAAAACCUCUUGUAAUGGUGUGAAACCAUGUAGCAAGUGCAAGCCCAUUAAAGCCUUCAAACAUACUCCCUCUACUGGUUCAAAAAGUCAUACUGUGUUGAAGUUAACAUACAAACUCCCAUGUUUGCAGUUGAAGAACUCCACAAUGUGUAACUUCUAACACACCUUGGUAUAUAAUGUUUAAUAGUGGGGAUAUUAAGGUGUAUUAAGAAAUGUGCUGUGUUUUAUGGCUUAUUUAACAGAUGUCUCAGACUAUUGUGCUAAACUCUUGAUUUUUGAGUUCAGGAAAGUAACAGUGUUGGUGUUGAGCUUCAAACCCAAACUCUUUGUUUCAGAAUGUCCUUAAGAAAACAAUGGGAUGGCAGUUUUGUCUACUUUAGUCAGGCACAUUUACCAGUAUACACUUAAUCUUUUCUGCAAAUGUACUGAGUGAUGGUUGCUGACCCCACCAUAAGCUGUUGAAUCUCAAUCAUCAAAGACUAAAUUGAACAUGUUUCUAGAGCCUGCAUGUGCAUGGCUGUAGCAGAGAGGGGAAUGGCACACAAAGCAUAAGACAGCACUGUAAUGAUUGUACUGCAUAUUAAAACACGACACAAAAAGUUUCAA